GAGGGCCCCGCACAAGCAGCGGAGCGUGUGGUUUAAUUCGAUGCUACACGAAGAACCUUACCAGGGUUUGACAUGCAAGUGGUAGGAAACCGAAAGGUGACCGACCCUUCGGGGAGCUUGCACAGGUGCUGCAUGGCUGUCGUCAGCUCGUGCCGUGAGGUGUUGGGUUAAGUCCCCGCAACGAGCGCAACCCCUAUCUUUAGUUGCCCUUAUUCAGUUAGGCACUCUAAAGAGACUGCCUCGGUUAACGAGGAGGAAGGUGGGGACGACGUCAAGUCCUCAUGGCCUUUAUGUCCAGGGCUACACACGUGCUACAAUGGACGGUACAAAGGGUUGCUAUCCCGCGAGGAGGCGCUAAUCCCAAAAAGCCGUUCUCAGUUCGGAUCGGAGUCUGCAACUCGACUCCGUGAAGUUGGAAUCGCUAGUAAUCGUGGAUCAGCAUGCCCACGGUCGAAUACGUUCCGGGCCUU
RNAcentral lists this ribosomal RNA (470 nucleotides) under uncultured Longilinea sp. RNAcentral describes it as "bacterial SSU rRNA". It matches the Rfam family "Bacterial small subunit ribosomal RNA", at positions 915 to 1382 of the family's 1533-position model. The record is from RNAcentral. Lineage: Bacteria; Bacillati; Chloroflexota; Anaerolineae; Anaerolineales; Anaerolineaceae.